RNAcentral lists this ribosomal RNA (515 nucleotides) under uncultured bacterium. RNAcentral describes it as "partial 16S ribosomal RNA". It matches the Rfam family "Bacterial small subunit ribosomal RNA", at positions 28 to 523 of the family's 1533-position model. The record is from RNAcentral.
GAUGAACGCUGGCGGCGUGCCUAAUACAUGCAAGUCGAGCGAAUGGAUUAAGAGCUUGCUCUUAUGAAGUUAGCGGCGGACGGGUGAGUAACACGUGGGUAACCUGCCCAUAAGACUGGGAUAACUCCGGGAAAACGGGGCUAAUACCGGAUAAUAUUUUGAACUGCAUGGUUCAAAAUUGAAAGGCGGCUUAGGCUGUCGCUUAUGGAUGGACCCGCGUCGCAUUAGCUAGUUGGUGAGGUAACGGCUCACCAAGGCAACGAUGCGUAGCCGACCUGAGAGGGUGAUCGGCCACACUGGGACUGAGACACGGCCCAGACUCCUACGGGAGGCAGCAGUAGGGAAUCUUCCGCAAUGGACGAAAGUCUGACGGAGCAACGCCGCGUGAGUGAUGAAGGCUUUCGGGUCGUAAAACUCUGUUGUUAGGGAAGAACAAGUGCUAGUUGAAUAAGCUGGCACCUUGACGGUACCUAACCAGAAAGCCACGGCUAACUACGUGCCAGCCGCCGCAGUAA